AGCCAAGGGCUCACUAUCGCCUUCACGGGCACUCCAGGAGCACCUUCCUUCCCUCAGGCCCCAUCUCUUAAAGAUUACACCUGCCUCUAGGAGUGUCAUCAGCUAGAGACCAAGCCUUCUAGGGACACUUAAGCUCAAGACCAGCGGGAUUACAGAUAUGGCUUGGCAGUGUGGAGGAAACAGACUUUGACUUCCCGUAAGAUCUGCUGUGCCGGCCAAGGGAUGCAGCAUGGAUGGGAAGGAGAGACUGCUGGUGGCUGCCACACCUCUUCCGACACACAGGUGGUGACGGGUGCUGUGGUAUCAGAGACAUGCUGCUCAUCGGAGAGCCCAGUUGAUGGCUGAUGUGGACACAUGUGGUCACUGGUGGAUCGGAAGGACUCUGUGGUGCAGACUCACGGCUGGCUCAGAGUGUGUGAACUUCAUAGACUGUCCAUCGGGAAAGUCAGAUACCCAAGAAAAAGAGGAGGGAUACAUCUUCUCAGUGACUGUCACCAUGAUCCUACAGACCGAGCCUCACACCCCCUGCCCAGCAUACGGGUAGGCAGGAGUGCUCACCUGCAUCUCUGACAGGCUUGAGGACAAUGCAUCUUUCUUGUGCUAACAUCAUAAUCAUUACUUCACACUGCCUUAUGCCACACCAUGCUUCAUGGUUCCUGAAUUCAGAAGGCAGAAGAACAAUAGCGACCCAGCUACAGUGUUCACAAGGAGUUUUCCUGUCUACUGCCCAUGGCUGCUCCCCAUGAUCCUGUUAGGAACCAGGCUGCGUGGCCAGCUGCGGGAUGCAGAGAUCCCUCAGAUACAUGAGGGGGUGGUGUGAGUGGUCUGGCCAUGGAAAAAUGGGACAGAGUUUGAAGGCUACAUUUGUGGGGACAAAUGAUAUAAAAUAACUCUGUAGCUGGACUUUUCUUCUCCCUCUUUCCAGCUG
Mastomys coucha (southern multimammate mouse) is the source of this 928-nucleotide long non-coding RNA. RefSeq lists it as uncharacterized. NCBI's taxonomy places the organism in Eukaryota, Metazoa, Chordata, Mammalia, Rodentia, Muridae. The record is from RefSeq and is a predicted model, not a curated record. The transcript has 3 exons.